This 30-nucleotide ribosomal RNA is filed under the name Cistella sp. EF-8. RNAcentral's name for it is "partial 18S ribosomal RNA". Lineage: Eukaryota; Fungi; Ascomycota; Leotiomycetes; Helotiales. The record is from RNAcentral.
GGGGUCCGAGUCUGCCUUACGGGUAGAUCU